This 253-nucleotide ribosomal RNA is filed under the name uncultured bacterium. RNAcentral's name for it is "partial 16S ribosomal RNA". It matches the Rfam family "Bacterial small subunit ribosomal RNA", at positions 524 to 776 of the family's 1533-position model. The record is from RNAcentral.
UACGUAGGGGGCAAGCGUUGUCCGGAAUCAUUGGGCGUAAAGCGCGCGUAGGCGGCCCUGUAAGUCCGUUGUGAAAGUCAAAGGCUCAACCUUUGAAAGCCGAUGGAUACUGCAGGGCUAGAGUCCGGAAGAGGCGAGUGGAAUUCCUGGUGUAGCGGUGAAAUGCGCAGAUAUCAGGAGGAACACCUAUUGCGAAGGCAGCUCGCUGGGACGUAACUGACGCUGAGACGCGAAAGCGUGGGGAGCAAACAGG